CUACGGGGGGCUGCAGUGGGGAAUAUUGGACAAUGGGCGAAAGCCUGAUCCAGCCAUGCCGCGUGAGUGAUGAAGGCCCUAGGGUUGUAAAGCUCUUUUGUGCGGGAAGAUAAUGACGGUACCGCAAGAAUAAGCCCCGGCUAACUUCGUGCCAGCAGCCGCGGUAAUACGAAGGGGGCUAGCGUUGCUCGGAAUCACUGGGCGUAAAGGGUGCGUAGGCGGGUCUUUAAGUCAGAGGUGAAAUCCUGGAGCUCAACUCCAGAACUGCCUUUGAUACUGAGGAUCUUGAGUUCGGGAGAGGUGAGUGGAACUGCGAGUGUAGAGGUGAAAUUCGUAGAUAUUCGCAAGAACACCAGUGGCGAAGGCGGCUCACUGGCCCGAUACUGACGCUGAGGCACGAAAGCGUGGGGAGCAAACAGGAUUAGAUACCCUCGUAGUC
RNAcentral lists this ribosomal RNA (439 nucleotides) under uncultured bacterium. RNAcentral's name for it is "partial 16S ribosomal RNA". It matches the Rfam family "Bacterial small subunit ribosomal RNA", at positions 339 to 795 of the family's 1533-position model. The record is from RNAcentral.